Molecule: long non-coding RNA, 475 nt
Organism: Micropterus dolomieu (smallmouth bass)
Lineage: Eukaryota; Metazoa; Chordata; Actinopteri; Centrarchiformes; Centrarchidae
Exons: 3
Source: RefSeq, a predicted model, not a curated record
UCCAAGUCUACCUCCUCUCAUUGUGGCGUCAAUGAUAACACCUGUGUCCGCCACCAUCUGAGGACCCUCGUAGAAGCGAACUCUGCACACCAACAGACCACAGGUCGGUGUUGGAGGAACCAGCGGUAAGAAGUCUUGUCCUUCCAGCCAACAUUGCGAGCAUCUUUCCACAGGAGUUUGACCUGGUCACUUGUGUCGCCGGUGUGCCACAGAGCGUUCCUCAGGUUUUCACCUGGACCCGUGGUCGACUUCACAGCCUUUUCAACACCACAAAUGACAAGAAGCAUCUCUCUUUGAAACGUGCUUCGAUUGCAGUAGAUCAGUUAGCAUAGCAUGGCAACUCUUUUUUUAAAGCUUUCUCGUGGACAUAAAGGAGACUCACCUUGAUACAGUUCCUCUCAGGACAGUCCAGUUUCUCAUCGGGGAAACCAUCUAUGUCAAUGUCAGCCCCGCAGAGAUAGCCGUUUCCAGCCCA